AGAAAGUAAGCAAGGGCAGACGGUGGAUGCCUUGGCUCUCGGAGGCGAUGAAGGACGUGAUAAGCUGCGAAAAGCUCGGGGGAGGCGCAAAUAGCCCUUGAUCCCGGGAUAUCCGAAUGGGGCAACCCGGCAGGCUGAAGGCCUGCCAUCCCGUAAGGGAGGCGAACGUGGGGAACUGAAACAUCUAAGUACCCAUAGGAGGAGAAAAUAAACAAUGAUUCCGUAAGUAGUGGCGAGCGAACACGGAAGAGCCCAAACCCGUGCCGUCUAGGCGACACGGGGGUUGUAGGACCACGACGUGGCAAGAUAGAGUCAAGUGGAACGCCUUGGAAAAGGCGACCGUAGAGGGUGAUAGUCCCGUACACGACUGACGAUUGAAGCCUAGUGGCAUCCUGAGUAGCGCGGGGCACGAGAAAUCUUGCGUGAAACUGCGGGGCCCAUCCCGUAAGGCUAAAUACUCCCGAGAGACCGAUAGCGAACCAGUACCGUGAGGGAAAGGUGAAAAGAACCCCGAGCAGGGGAGUGAAAUAGACCCUGAACCCGUCUGCCUACAAGCGGUCGGAGCAUCGUCAAGAUGUGACGGCGUGCCUUUUGCAUAAUGAACCUACGAGUUACCUUCCCCGGCAAGGUUAAGUACCUAAGGUACGGAGCCGAAGCGAAAGCGAGUCUGAAUAGGGCGGCCAGUCGGGGGGGGUAGACGCGAAACCGAGUGAUCUACCCUUGGCCAGGUUGAAGGUUGGGUAACACCAACUGGAGGACCGGAUGGGUAAGCGUUGAAAAGCUUUCCAAUGAGCUGAGGGUAGGGGUGAAAGGCUAAUCAAACUCGGAGAUAGCUCGUACUCCCCGAAAUGCAUUUAGGUGCAGCCUCUUUAUAGUAUAUCGUGAGGUAGAGCGACUGAUUGGAUGCGAGGGCUUCACCGCCUAUCAAGUCCAGAUAAACUCCGAAUGCGCGAUAUAUAUUUAAAGGGAGUGAGGGCGCGGGUGCUAAGGUCCGUGUCCGAGAGGAGAAGAAUCCAGACCACCGGCUAAGGCCCCCAAAUGAUCGUUGAGUUGAACUAACGAGGUCGGAUCGCAGAGACAGCUAGGAUGUUGGCUUGGAAGCAGCCAUUCAUUUAAAGAGUGCGUAACAGCUCACUAGUCGAGCGAUCUGGCGUGGAUAAUAAUCGGGCAUAAACGAUCUGCCGAAGCCGUGGAUGUCGUAAGACAUGGUAGGGGAGCAUUCCAUGGGCGUCGAAGAUGAGGGAAGACCCUUGUUGGAGCGCAUGGAAAAGCAAAUGUAGGUAUGAGUAACGAUAAGGGGGGCGAGAAACCCCCCCGCCGAAAGACCAAGGUUUCCUGAUCAACGCUAAUCGGAUCAGGGUGAGUCGGGACCUAAGGCAAAGCCGAACGGCGACGCCGAUGGAAGAAUGGGUUAAUAUUCCCAUACUGCCUCAUGGAGUGACGUGGAGACGGAGAAGUGACAGUCCUGCCGGCUGACGGAAUAGCCGGUUGAAGGGUGUAGAUAUUGAUUCCCGUAGGCAAAUCCGCGGGGAGAGUCGAACCUGAGAGUAUACGGAGCGCUUGCGCAACGUAAUAUGGACGUAACCAUGCUCCCGAGAAAAUCCGCUAAACUUAUCCAUGCGGCACCCGUACCGUAAACGGACACACGUGGUCGGGUUGAGAAUACUGAGGCGCUCGAGUGACUCACGGUUAAGGAACUAGGCAAAUUGACCCUGUAACUUCGGGAUAAAGGGUCCUCGUCGUAAGGCGAGGCGCAGAGAAUAGGUCCAGGCAACUGUUUAACAAAAACACAUGGCUGUGCUAAAUGGAAACAUGACGUAUACAGCCUGACACCUGCCCGGUGCUGGAAGGUUAAGAGGAGAUGUCAUCGCAAGAGAAGCGUUGAAUUGAAGCCCCAGUAAACGGCGGCCGUAACUAUAACGGUCCUAAGGUAGCGAAAUUCCUUGUCGGGUAAGUUCCGACCUGCACGAAUGGUGUAAUGAUCUGGACACUGUCUCAACCGUGAGCUCGGUGAAAUUGUAGUAUCGGUGAAGAUGCCGAUUACCCGCGAUGGGACNAGGGUCCUCGUCGUAAGGCGAGGCGCAGAGAAUAGGUCCAGGCAACUGUUUAACAAAAACACAUGGCUGUGCUAAAUGGAAACAUGACGUAUACAGCCUGACACCUGCCCGGUGCUGGAAGGUUAAGAGGAGAUGUCAUCGCAAGAGAAGCGUUGAAUUGAAGCCCCAGUAAACGGCGGCCGUAACUAUAACGGUCCUAAGGUAGCGAAAUUCCUUGUCGGGUAAGUUCCGACCUGCACGAAUGGUGUAAUGAUCUGGACACUGUCUCAACCGUGAGCUCGGUGAAAUUGUAGUAUCGGUGAAGAUGCCGAUUACCCGCGAUGGGACGAAAAGACCCCGUGAACCUUUACUAUAGCUUUACAUUGAAUUUGGGCAGACGAUGUGUAGGAUAGGCCGGAGGCUUUGAAGGGGGUACGCCAGUAUCCUUGGAGCCGCCGUUGAAAUACGGCCCUUCGGUUGUUUGAGUUCUAACUCCUAGGCAGGAGGACACUGUAUGGUGGGUAGUUUGACUGGGGUGGUCGCCUCCAAAAGCGUAACGGAGGCUUCUAAAGGUGCCCUCAGACCGAUUGGUAACCGGUCGCAGAGUGUAAUGGCAUAAGGGCGCUUGACUGGGAGAGAUACAACUCGAUCAGGUAGGAAACUAGAGCAUAGUGAUCCGGUGGUUCCGCAUGGAAGGGCCAUCGCUCAAAGGAUAAAAGGUACUCCGGGGAUAACAGGCUGAUCAUUCCCAAGAGCUCAUAUCGACGGAAUGGUUUGGCACCUCGAUGUCGGCUCGUCACAUCCUGGGGCUGGAGAAGGUCCCAAGGGUUGGGCUGUUCGCCCAUUAAAGUGGCACGCGAGCUGGGUUCAGAACGUCGUGAGACAGUUCGGUCUCUAUCUAUCGUGGGCGCAGGAGAUUUGAGGGGCUCUGACACUAGUACGAGAGGACCGUGUUGGACGUACCACUGGUUUACCGGUUGUCCCGCCAGGGGCACCGCCGGGUAUCUAAGUACGGAUCGGAUAAGUGCUGAAAGCAUCUAAGUACGAAGCCGGCCUCAAGAUUAGAUCUCCCUCAAGGGUGGUUAUAGACGAUGACCUUGAUAGGCCACAGGUGUAAGGGCGGCGACGUCCGAGCCGAGUGGUACUAAUAGCCCGGGACUUUCCUCA
This 3203-nucleotide ribosomal RNA is filed under the name Parabacteroides distasonis. RNAcentral's name for it is "23S ribosomal RNA". It matches the Rfam family "Bacterial large subunit ribosomal RNA". Lineage: Bacteria; Pseudomonadati; Bacteroidota; Bacteroidia; Bacteroidales; Tannerellaceae. The record is from RNAcentral.